RNAcentral lists this ribosomal RNA (206 nucleotides) under uncultured bacterium. Its description in RNAcentral is "partial 16S ribosomal RNA". It matches the Rfam family "Bacterial small subunit ribosomal RNA", at positions 568 to 774 of the family's 1533-position model. The record is from RNAcentral.
CGCGUAGGCGAUCCGAUAAGUCUCGUGUGAAAUCCCAGUGCUUAACGCUGGAAUGGCACGGGAAACUGUUGGAUUUGAGUUCCGGAGAGGAAGGCAGAAUUCCCGGUGUAGCGGUGAAAUGCGUAGAUAUCGGGAGGAAUACCAGUGGCGAAGGCGGCCUUCUGGACGGAUACUGACGCUGAGGCGCGAAAGCCAGGGAGCGAACG